This 379-nucleotide unclassified non-coding RNA is filed under the name uncultured bacterium. Its description in RNAcentral is "contains 16S-23S intergenic spacer region". The record is from RNAcentral.
UCACUACUUGCGUAGGCAGUCUUCUUAGAGUGCUCAGCAUUACCUGAUGGCAACUAAGAACGAGGGUUGCGCUCGUUGCGGGACUUAACCCAACACCUCACGGCACGAGCUGACGACAGCCAUGCAGCACCUGUACAAGCUCACCUUGCGGUACCCCGACUUUCAUCAGGAUUAGCUUGCAUUUCAAGCCUAGGUAAGGUUCUUCGCGUUGCGUCGAAUUAAACCACAUGCUCCACCGCUUGUGCGGGCCCCCGUCAAUUCCUUUGAGUUUCAGCCUUGCGGCCGUACUCCCCAGGCGGGGCACUUAAUGCGUUAGCGCCGGCACCCAGGGGGUCGCUCCCCCAGGCACCUAGUGCCCAUCGUUUACGGCGUGGACUAC